Molecule: non-coding RNA, 862 nt
Organism: Pelobates cultripes (western spadefoot toad)
Lineage: Eukaryota; Metazoa; Chordata; Amphibia; Anura; Pelobatidae
Source: the annotation of a GenBank genome assembly
ACUUACAAGAUCAUUUGUAAUGCAGGUCAUCACUCAUAAAGAGUAAUGUUGAUUUUUUUUUGUCUCUCCUCGAAAUAUGCAGGAGUAAUGUAAUGGAAACAAAUAAUCAGAAUAAAUGAAACAGAAUAAAAGAGAGUCAUGCAGAAUAAUGUCCUAUGAGUUUUGUCUGACUGCUCAAACUUACUCAAGGCUACUUGAAUCUCCGUCUGUAGUUGAAGUGGUGAGACAAUUAUCACGUCUGGUUUUUAAACCUCUUCAGGGCUCAUGUGGAUUGCCGUGAGCCAAUUUGCUGCGCGCUGCCACACAUGUUAUUCACAAUCCAUUUGUAGCAUGUCAAGCCUCCCUGUCAGGUUCCUAUCCUGACAAUCUUUUCGUUGAUACUGUUUCUUUAAAAACAAAGUUCCUGCACGGAUUAUAAUUUACCACCCCUCUUUUUUCCCCCUCUUUUCUUCUCCCCUGUUCUCCUCUAACUUUUCUGCAACGCAAUACACUCGCAGCCUCGUAGUCCACAAGGGAGAAAAGAUCCCUACAUAGACACAGAAAUUCUUAUAGACAAGCCACAUCAAUAUGCUGAGCCUACCUCUUCACUGUACUAUAGGUUAGACUGUCCAACCUUACGAGCAUACAUCCCUAAACCACUCUAGGUAGCACCUUUCACCAGCAGUACAACCUUAAAGCAUUAUAAUUGAAGAGCCCUACGCUAGGGUUUUUUUUAAAUGUGAUGUCAAGUGAUGUCAAGUGAUGUCAAGUGAUGUCGAGUGAUGUCAAGUGUCAAGUGACAAGUUUGAUGUAUGGAAGCUUAUAAUACUGUUUGGCGUUUCUGACAUGCAGUUACCCGGUGUAUAGCACAAUUGUAUUUGCA